This is a non-coding RNA of Rhodocollybia butyracea, 89 nucleotides long. Lineage: Eukaryota; Fungi; Basidiomycota; Agaricomycetes; Agaricales; Omphalotaceae. The record is from the annotation of a GenBank genome assembly.
UCCGAUAUGGUGUAGUGGCUAACAUUAUCGCCUCUCAUGACACUGCCGACGAACCGCGAUAGCCCGGGGUUCGAUUCCCCGUGUCGGAA